AUUCUCCCUUAUAAGAUUUGAAGAAGUAACAGGACUCCUAAUAAGGAAAUACAGAAGUAGGCAAAGUAAUGUAAUAGUAGUAAUUGGCAUAAACCUGAAUAGGCAUACUACAGGAAUAGGCAUACCACUGGAAUAGGCAUACUACAAGAAAUAAGCAUACUACAGGAAUAGGCAUACUGCUGGAAUUGGCAUACUUCAGGAAUAGGCAUGCUACUGGAAUAGGCAUACUGCUGGAAUUGGCAUACUACAGGAAUAGGCAUGCUACUGGAAUAGGCAUACUGCUGGAAUUGGCAUACUACAGGAAUAGACAUGCUACUGGAAUGGGUAUACUACAGGAAUAGGCAUGCUACAUGAAUAGGCAUACUACACGAAUAGGCAUGCUACAGGAAAAGGCAUACUACAGGAAUAGGUAUAUUACUGGAAUAGGCA
Long non-coding RNA from Haliotis rubra (blacklip abalone), 429 nucleotides. RefSeq lists it as uncharacterized. The record is from RefSeq and is a predicted model, not a curated record. Lineage: Eukaryota; Metazoa; Mollusca; Gastropoda; Lepetellida; Haliotidae. The transcript has 3 exons.